CCUACGGGGGGCUGCAGUGGGGAAUAUUGGACAAUGGGGGCAACCCUGAUCCAGCCAUGCCGCGUGUGUGAAGAAGGCCCUCGGGUUGUAAAGCACUUUCAGUGAGGAAGAACGCCUGGUGGUUAAUACCCAUCAGGAAAGACAUCACUCACAGAAGAAGCACCGGCUAACUCCGUGCCAGCAGCCGCGGUAAUACGGAGGGUGCGAGCGUUAAUCGGAAUUACUGGGCGUAAAGCGCGCGUAGGUGGCUUGAUAAGCCGGUUGUGAAAGCCCCGGGCUCAACCUGGGAACGGCAUCCGGAACUGGCAAGCUAGAGUGCAGGAGAGGAAGGUAGAAUUCCCGGUGUAGCGGUGAAAUGCGUAGAGAUCGGGAGGAAUACCAGUGGCGAAGGCGGCCUUCUGGACUGACACUGACACUGAGGUGCGAAAGCGUGGGUAGCAAACAGGAUUAGAUACCCUGGUAGUC
This 465-nucleotide ribosomal RNA is filed under the name Vreelandella stevensii. RNAcentral's name for it is "partial 16S ribosomal RNA". It matches the Rfam family "Bacterial small subunit ribosomal RNA", at positions 338 to 795 of the family's 1533-position model. The record is from RNAcentral. Lineage: Bacteria; Pseudomonadati; Pseudomonadota; Gammaproteobacteria; Oceanospirillales; Halomonadaceae.